UACGGGGGGGCAAGCGUUGUUCGGAAUUUCUGGGCGUAAAGGGCUCGUAGGCGGCCAACUAAGUCAGACGUGAAAUCCCUCGGCUUAACCGAGGAACUGCGUCUGAUACUGGAUGGCUUGAGAUUGGGAGAGGGAUGCGGAAUUCCAGGUGUAGCGGUGAAAUGCGUAGAUAUCUGGAGGAACACCGGUGGCGAAGGCGGCAUCCUGGACCAACACUGACGCUGAGGAGCGAAAGUGUGGGGAGCGAACAGG
RNAcentral lists this ribosomal RNA (252 nucleotides) under uncultured bacterium. RNAcentral's name for it is "partial 16S ribosomal RNA". It matches the Rfam family "Bacterial small subunit ribosomal RNA", at positions 524 to 776 of the family's 1533-position model. The record is from RNAcentral.